GCUAGCUACAUCUACCAGAAUUCUGCUGGCCGGCCAGCAUACUACAUUGAGUACACUCUUUGGUGCUCUCGCGCAAAGCUCAGACCCCUCUACUUAUAAAUACUAACAGAAAUGUUAUCUAAGCAUAUAUCAAGUUCCUAAUAAGUAUAUAUAUCAGUUACCACCUCGCGUUUAUUCUCCAGAAAAUGUCUAGUACUUGCAGAAGCAGAGAAGGUAAGAGUUCAUGGGCGGAAUUGGAGGGAAUCAAUGGGGAAUUAGCAGCACAGAUCAUCGAAAGAGAGAACAAAAAUGUGAAUGCUGUUGUUGUUGCAGCAAACAGCUUUGGAACAUCGGAGAUCAAUUGCUUCAGAGUGAGGGUGAAAGUUGACAAAGACGGCAUUGUGACUUCCACCCCAAGGAUCGGUUAACUUGCAACAGCCUUCUGUUUUGUUUUCAUUUGAAUUUGUGAAGCAAUUGUUUGUAUCUUCUUUCAUGCAUGUAAAAGUUGAUUUUUGCUCUGUUUUUUCA
Molecule: long non-coding RNA, 507 nt
Organism: Daucus carota subsp. sativus
Lineage: Eukaryota; Viridiplantae; Streptophyta; Magnoliopsida; Apiales; Apiaceae
Exons: 2
Source: RefSeq, a predicted model, not a curated record